Molecule: unclassified non-coding RNA, 223 nt
Filed under: uncultured Lecanorales
Lineage: Eukaryota; Fungi; Ascomycota; Lecanoromycetes
Description: sequence contains 5.8S rRNA gene, ITS2, 28S rRNA gene
Source: RNAcentral
AACGCACAUUGCGCCCCAUGGCAUUCCAUGGGGCACGCCUGUUCGAGCGUCAUUUCAACCUUCAAGCCUGGCUUGGUAUUGGGUCUGCUGCCCUGGCGGGCCUCAAAGAUAUUGGCGGUGGGCAACCCUCGAGCGUGAUGGACUCACGACAACGGGGCGGCUCGUCGCUGAAAGUUCUCUAUAGGUUGACCUCGGAUCAGGCGGGGAUACCCGCUGAACUUAA